AUAGGGCCCAUAUGGUCAACGCGGGUCAAAGUGCAGUAUCUGUUAUCAGCUUAAUAUUUGAUAGGGUUGUAUUUGGACUCAAGUUAUUAAACUUAUUUUUGCAAGAUGGCGGAGUGCUUGACGCCUGCUCCACAUCCGCCGUGGGUCGGCCAGGUAUUGCACUAUCUUCGAGAUCGGCCCAAAGUUU
This is a small nuclear RNA of Dermacentor andersoni, 187 nucleotides long. RefSeq annotates it as U2 spliceosomal RNA. The record is from RefSeq and is a predicted model, not a curated record. Lineage: Eukaryota; Metazoa; Arthropoda; Arachnida; Ixodida; Ixodidae.